Balaenoptera ricei (Rice's whale) is the source of this 73-nucleotide non-coding RNA. The record is from the annotation of a RefSeq genome assembly. NCBI's taxonomy places the organism in Eukaryota, Metazoa, Chordata, Mammalia, Artiodactyla, Balaenopteridae.
UCCCUGGUGGUCCAGUUGGUAAGACUCCAAGCUCCCUAUGCAGGGGGCCCAGGUUCGAUCCCUGGUUGGGGAA